This 432-nucleotide ribosomal RNA is filed under the name uncultured bacterium. RNAcentral describes it as "partial 16S ribosomal RNA". It matches the Rfam family "Bacterial small subunit ribosomal RNA", at positions 29 to 506 of the family's 1533-position model. The record is from RNAcentral.
AACGAACGCUGGCGGCAUGCCUAACACAUGCAAGUCGAACGAGACCUUCGGGUCUAGUGGCGCACGGGUGCGUAACGCGUGGGAACCUGCCCUUAGGUUCGGAAUAACUCCCCGAAAGGGGUGCUAAUACCGGAUAAUGUCUUCGGACCAAAGAUUUAUCGCCUUUGGAUGGGCCCGCGUUGGAUUAGCUAGUUGGUAGGGUAAAAGCCUACCAAGGCGACGAUCCAUAGCUGGUCUGAGAGGAUGAUCAGCCACACUGGGACUGAGACACGGCCCAGACUCCUACGGGAGGCAGCAGUGGGGAAUAUUGGACAAUGGGCGAAAGCCUGAUCCAGCAAUGCCGCGUGAGUGAUGAAGGCCUUAGGGUUGUAAAGUUCUUUUACCCGGGAUGAUAAUGACAGUACCGGGAGAAUAAGCGCCGGCUAACUCCGU